This 468-nucleotide ribosomal RNA is filed under the name uncultured bacterium. Its description in RNAcentral is "partial 16S ribosomal RNA". It matches the Rfam family "Bacterial small subunit ribosomal RNA", at positions 28 to 507 of the family's 1533-position model. The record is from RNAcentral.
GACGAACGCUGGCGGCGGGCUUAACACAUGCAAGUCGAACGGAAAGGCCCUGCUUUUGUGUGGUGCUCGAGUGGCGAACGGGUGAGUAACACGUGAGUAACCUGCCCUUGACUUUGGGAUAACUUCAGGAAACUGGGGCUAAUACCGGAUAGGAGCUCCUGCUGCAUGGUGGGGGUUGGAAAGUUUCGGCGGUUGGGGAUGGACUCGCGGCUUAUCAGCUUGUUGGUGGGGUAGUGGCUUACCAAGGCUUUGACGGGUAGCCGGCCUGAGAGGGUGACCGGGCACAUUGGGACUGAGAUACGGACCAGACUCCUACGGGAGGCAGCAGUGGGGAAUAUUGCACAAUGGGGCGAAGCCUGAUGCAGCAACGCCGCGUGCGGGAUGACGGCCUUCGGGUUGUAAACCGCUUUCGCCUGUGACGAAGCGUGAGUGACGGUAAUGGGUAAAGAAGCACCGGCUAACUACGUG